GACGAACGCUGGCGGCGUGCUUAACACAUGCAAGUCGAACGGAAAGGCCCUGCUUUUGUGGGGUGCUCGAGUGGCGAACGGGUGAGUAACACGUGAGUAACCUGCCCUUGACUUUGGGAUAACUUCAGGAAACUGGGGCUAAUACCGGAUAGGAGCUCCUGCUGCAUGGGGGGGGUUGGAACGUUUCGGCGGUUGGGGAUGGACUCGCGGCUUAUCAGCUUGUUGGUGGGGUAGUGGCUUACCAAGGCUUUGACGGGUAGCCGGCCUGGGAGGGUGGACAGGGACAAUGGGCCUGAGAGACGGAGCAGACGGGUAUGGGAGGCAGUGGUGGGGAAUAUUGCACAAUGGGCGGAAGCCUGAUGCAGCAGCGCCGCGUGCGGGAUGACGGCUUUGGUGUGAUAAACCGCUGUCGGCUGAGACGAAGCGGGAGUGACGGUAAUGGGUAAAGAAGCACCGGCUAACUACGUG
This 468-nucleotide ribosomal RNA is filed under the name uncultured bacterium. RNAcentral's name for it is "partial 16S ribosomal RNA". It matches the Rfam family "Bacterial small subunit ribosomal RNA", at positions 28 to 507 of the family's 1533-position model. The record is from RNAcentral.